This 49-nucleotide non-coding RNA is filed under the name unclassified sequences. The record is from RNAcentral.
GGUUGGCAGUAAUCACUGUUUCAAGUAUUGAGCUUCAGGGUGGAGAGCU